RNAcentral lists this ribosomal RNA (478 nucleotides) under Shigella flexneri. RNAcentral's name for it is "partial 23S ribosomal RNA". It matches the Rfam family "Bacterial large subunit ribosomal RNA", at positions 1 to 509 of the family's 2925-position model. Lineage: Bacteria; Pseudomonadati; Pseudomonadota; Gammaproteobacteria; Enterobacterales; Enterobacteriaceae. The record is from RNAcentral.
GGGUUGUGAGGUUAAGCGACUAAGCGUACACGGUGGAUGCCCUGGCAGUCAGAGGCGAUGAAGGACGUGCUAAUCUGCGAUAAGCGUCGGUAAGGUGAUAUGAACCGUUAUAACCGGCGAUUUCCGAAUGGGGAAACCCAGUGUGAUUCGUCACACUAUCAUUAACUGAAUCCAUAGGUUAAUGAGGCGAACCGGGGGAACUGAAACAUCUAAGUACCCCGAGGAAAAGAAAUCAACCGAGAUUCCCCCAGUAGCGGCGAGCGAACGGGGAGCAGCCCAGAGCCUGAAUCAGUGUGUGUGUUAGUGGAAGCGUCUGGAAAGGCGUGCGAUACAGGGUGACAGCCCCGUACACAAAAAUGCACAUACUGUGAGCUCGAUGAGUAGGGCGGGACACGUGGUAUCCUGUCUGAAUAUGGGGGGACCAUCCUCCAAGGCUAAAUACUCCUGACUGACCGAUAGUGAACCAGUACCGUGAGGG